CAGCAGCCACGGUAAUACGAAGGGGGCUAGCGUUGCUCGGAAUCACUGGGCGUAAAGGGUGCGUAGGCGGGUCUUUAAGUCAGGGGUGAAAUCCUGGAGCUCAACUCCAGAACUGCCUUUGAUACUGAAGAUCUUGAGUUCGGGAGAGGUGAGUGGAACUGCGAGUGUAGAGGUGAAAUUCGUAGAUAUUCGCAAGAACACCAGUGGCGAAGGCGGCUCACUGGCCCGAUACUGACGCUGAGGCACGAAAGCGUGGGGAGCAAACAGGAUUAGAUACCCGCGUAGUCCCUGUCUCUUAUAC
Molecule: ribosomal RNA, 301 nt
Filed under: uncultured bacterium
Lineage: Bacteria
Description: partial 16S ribosomal RNA
Rfam family: Bacterial small subunit ribosomal RNA
Source: RNAcentral